CGCGUAGGCGGCUUUAUAAGUCUGGAGUGAAAAUCCUCUUUUCAAGGGAGGAAUUGCUUUGGAAACUAUAGAGCUUGAGUGCAGGAGAGGUUAUCGGAAUUCCCGGUGUAGCGGUGAAAUGCGUAGAUAUCGGGAGGAACAUCGGUGGCGAAGGCGGGUAACUGGACUGCAACUGACGCUGAGGCGCGAAAGUGUGGGGAGCAAACA
Molecule: ribosomal RNA, 207 nt
Filed under: uncultured bacterium
Lineage: Bacteria
Description: partial 16S ribosomal RNA
Rfam family: Bacterial small subunit ribosomal RNA
Source: RNAcentral